This 307-nucleotide unclassified non-coding RNA is filed under the name uncultured fungus. Its description in RNAcentral is "partial contains small subunit ribosomal RNA, internal transcribed spacer 1, and 5.8S ribosomal RNA". The stretch from base 1 to 73 matches the Rfam family "Eukaryotic small subunit ribosomal RNA", at positions 1759 to 1831 of the family's 1831-position model. The record is from RNAcentral. Lineage: Eukaryota; Fungi.
GCAAACUUGGUCAUUUAGAGGAAGUAAAAGUCGUAACAAGGUUUCCGUAGGUGAACCUGCGGAAGGAUCAUUAACAAUUGUCCACUACAAUGGAUAAUUUAUCCAUAUCCACCUUGUGUGCAUCCAUUGAAAUGUUUGUUGGCAGGUUAAGCUUUUCUUUUGGGAGAGCUGUGAGUUUUACUCGGCCUGCCAAUUUUAUACGUUUAAACAUGUCUAAAUGUAUAUAUUGUCUGAAAAAUUAUAUAUUAUAACAAAUACAACUUUCAACAACGGAUCUCUUGGCUCUCGCAUCGAUGAAGAACGCAGC